UGGGGAAUAUUGGACAAUGGGGGCAACCCUGAUCCAGCCAUGCCGCGUGUGUGAAGAAGGCCUUUUGGUUGUAAAGCACUUUAAGCAGUGAAGAAGACUCCAUGGUUAAUACCCAUGGACGAUGACAUUAGCUGCAGAAUAAGCACCGGCUAACUCUGUGCCAGCAGCCGCGGUAAUACAGAGGGUGCAAGCGUUAAUCGGAAUUACUGGGCGUAAAGCGAGCGUAGGUGGCUUGAUAUGUCAGAUGUGAAAGCCCCGGGCUUAACCUGGGAACGGCAUCUGAUACUGUUAGGCUAGAGUAGGUGAGAGGAAGGUAGAAUUCCAGGUGUAGCGGUGAAAUGCGUAGAGAUCAGGAGGAAUACCGAUGGCGAAGGCAGCCUUCUGGCAUCAUACUGACACUGAGGUUCGAAAGCGUGGGUAGCAAACAG
This 428-nucleotide ribosomal RNA is filed under the name uncultured bacterium. RNAcentral describes it as "bacterial SSU rRNA". It matches the Rfam family "Bacterial small subunit ribosomal RNA", at positions 355 to 775 of the family's 1533-position model. The record is from RNAcentral.